UCCGGCUUAUCACCGGCAGUUUCUUUAGAGUGCCCAACUGAAUGGUGGCAACUAAAGACGAGGGUUGCGCUCGUUGCGGGACUUAACCCAACAUCUCACGACACGAGCUGACGACAGCCAUGCAGCACCUGUCUCCGAUCCAGCCGAACUGAAGGAUCUCAUCUCUGAAACCCGCGAUCGGGAUGUCAAGGGCUGGUAAGGUUCUGCGCGUUGCUUCGAAUUGAACCACAUGCUCCACCGCUUGUGCGGGUCCCCGUCAAUUCCUUUGAGUUUUAAUCUUGCGACCGUACUCCCCAGGCGGUCGACUUCACGCGUUAGCUGCGUUACCGAAGGAGUUACCCUCCGACAACUAGUCGACAUCGUUUAGGGCGUGGACUAC
RNAcentral lists this unclassified non-coding RNA (379 nucleotides) under uncultured Alphaproteobacteria bacterium. RNAcentral's name for it is "contains 16S-23S intergenic spacer region". The record is from RNAcentral. Lineage: Bacteria; Pseudomonadati; Pseudomonadota; Alphaproteobacteria.